RNAcentral lists this ribosomal RNA (253 nucleotides) under uncultured bacterium. RNAcentral describes it as "partial 16S ribosomal RNA". It matches the Rfam family "Bacterial small subunit ribosomal RNA", at positions 524 to 776 of the family's 1533-position model. The record is from RNAcentral.
UACGGAGGGUGCGAGCGUUGUCCGGAAUUACUGGGCGUAAAGAGCUCGUAGGUGGUUUGUCGCGUUGUUCGUGAAAACUCACAGCUUAACUGUGGGCGUGCGGGCGAUACGGGCAGACUGGAGUACUGCAGGGGAGACUGGAAUUCCUGGUGUAGCGGUGGAAUGCGCAGAUAUCAGGAGGAACACCGGCGGCGAAGGCGGGUCUCUGGGCAGUAACUGACGCUGAGGAGCGAAAGCGUGGGGAGCGAACAGG